Heterocephalus glaber (naked mole-rat) is the source of this 288-nucleotide long non-coding RNA. The record is from Ensembl. NCBI's taxonomy places the organism in Eukaryota, Metazoa, Chordata, Mammalia, Rodentia, Bathyergidae.
CUGCCCUUCUGCUCCCGGUUGGUGUGUCCGAGUGGAAGGAGCUGCCCAGACAGGCUCCUCGAGCUGACAGGGCUGAGGCCGAGGAGAACACAGGGGAGGCAAGAAGCUCCGGGGAAGGGAUGCUAAGGGAAAGCUCGAGCCGAGCUGUCUCCGCUCUGCAGUGUCCAGCACAGCAGGAAGACCUUCAGACCUCCCGUCUGACGACAGCGCCUGACUCCUGUGUCCUGGCCAGCUGCAAACUUCCGGGCAGGCUUGUCCCCAGGUGGGGGACAGAAGGCAGCAAGAAGC